This 480-nucleotide ribosomal RNA is filed under the name uncultured bacterium. RNAcentral's name for it is "bacterial SSU rRNA". It matches the Rfam family "Bacterial small subunit ribosomal RNA", at positions 10 to 507 of the family's 1533-position model. The record is from RNAcentral.
AGUUUGAUCAUGGCUCAGGACGAACGCUGGCGGCGUGCUUAACACAUGCAAGUCGACGGUAAGGCCCUUCGGGGUACACGAGUGGCGAACGGGUGAGUAACACGUGGGUGAUCUGCCCUGCACUUCGGGAUAAGCCUGGGAAACUGGGUCUAAUACCGGAUAGGACCAUGGACUUCACGGUUUGUGGUGGAAAGCUUUUGCGGUGUGGGGUGGGCCCGCGGCCUAUCAGCUUGUUGGUGGGGUAAUGGCCUACCAAGGGCGACGACGGGUAGCCGGCCUGAGAGGGUGUCCGGCCACACUGGGACUGAGAUACGGCCCAGACUCCUACGGGAGGCAGCAGUGGGGAAUAUUGCACAAUGGGCGCAAGCCUGAUGCAGCGACGCCGCGUGAGGGAUGACGGCCUUCGGGUUGUAAACCUCUUUCAAUAGGGACGAAGCGCAAGUGACGGUACCUAUAGAAGAAGCACCGGCCAACUACGUG